RNAcentral lists this long non-coding RNA (869 nucleotides) under Cricetulus griseus (Chinese hamster). RNAcentral describes it as "lncRNA (ENSCGRG00015040236.1)". Lineage: Eukaryota; Metazoa; Chordata; Mammalia; Rodentia; Cricetidae. The record is from RNAcentral.
CGGCGGGCUGCUACACAAUGUUUCCCUUCAGUCGGGAGGGGAAAUGGAGGGAGGCCAGACUUCCUGAUCACAUGAUGCUGAAGUCAAUGAAAAAAAAUGAAGGGGGACCCCUCCCAUGCGCUGGGGUGCGCGGGCCAGGGCCCCCCACCCACCCCCUCGGGCCGCGCGGCCGGGGAAGCGCAGGCUCGCGGGCGGGCGCGGGGCCAGGCGCAGGACGGGGCAAACAUAAACACCAGAUCGGUGCAGUAAUUGGCGGCUCCGAGAUCGCUGAGGAAAUGAGAGGCUUGUACGAAACAUCAGCCGACAAGAAACGGGGUGAUGUCAGACAGCCUUCCAGGAUUAGAAACCCUUAAAAGCUCCGAGCCCGCGGCGGCUGCGGAAAAGCGCGCUCCUCUCUGGCUCUCCGGGGCCUUCACAUAUGCAGUGUGCUAUGCAGCAGGUAGGGAGAUGCCCACAGUCAGGGGCUUCCCCACAAGAGGUACAUGGCUACCUGACAUAGAUGAGGAACCUCUGGACUGCAUUUCUAACCACACCUAGUAGCGGAGCACGUGACUGGACCUUCAUGGAAUAUCUGAUGGUCUUGUUGGGCUUGGUUUCCUGAUCAGCUAAUGAUAGUUAUGCAGCAUACACUUCCAGUCUUGGACAUUAUUAUUAAGUCUGGUGGGUGGUGGAAAUAAUGUGCUAAGUCAUAUUAAUAAAUAACAAUGAGAAUGUGAGCUGUAGCCUCUAACAGGUCACCAGUUACAUGAUAGGCCAUAGGUCAAAUAUCAAAAUGUGACUAUGUGGCUACCUAGAGGAACACCACAUGGGCAAGAGGUGAGUUUGCCAGAGGUUCCUGAGUACUUUAAAAACCCUCCUCACUGUUUCCC